UCUGAGGAUCAGGUUUGUCUUUAAUGUUGAAGCAACAAAAUCCAGAGAAAACUCAUAAAAACAAUUCUACAGUAACUCUACUGUAAACAGAGUAACUACUGUAAACAGAGUAACUACUGCACACAGAGUAACUACUGUACACAGAGUAACUACUGUAAACAGAGUAACUGUACUGCACACAGAGUAACUACUGUACACAGAGUAACUACUGCACACAGAGUAACUACUGUACACAGAGUAACUACUGCACACAGAGUAACUCUACUGUAAACAGAGUAACUACUGUACACAGAGUAACUACUGCACACAGAGUAACUGUACUGUACACAGAGUAACUACUGUACACAGAGUAACUCUACUGUAAACAGAGUAACUACUGUAACUGAGCACAAUCACUGAGUUAACUGUACUGUACACACAGAGUAAUUACUGCACACACACAGAGUAACUACUGUACACAGAGUAACUCUACUGUAAACAGAGUAACUACUGCACACAGAGUAACUACUGUACACAGAGUAACUACUGCACACAGAGUAACUCUACUGCACACAGAGUAACUCUACCACGUACACAGCAAUAAUACUGCAUACUGGAGUCUAUAGAAUAAUCCAGUGACACGAUCUGUAAACAAUACUGUUACUUACAGACACAUCUACAGUUGCAUGAAGCAGUGAACAUGUAGUCAAAGAACCUCUUAGCAAACACAU
RNAcentral lists this long non-coding RNA (710 nucleotides) under Oryzias javanicus (javanese ricefish). RNAcentral's name for it is "lncRNA (ENSOJAG00000015498.1)". The record is from RNAcentral. Lineage: Eukaryota; Metazoa; Chordata; Actinopteri; Beloniformes; Adrianichthyidae.